This 1406-nucleotide long non-coding RNA is filed under the name Mus musculus (house mouse). RNAcentral's name for it is "predicted gene, 41787". Lineage: Eukaryota; Metazoa; Chordata; Mammalia; Rodentia; Muridae. The record is from RNAcentral.
CUUUUCCUAGACUUGGGGAACUUUCUGCUACGGUAUCAUUCUGUAGUUCGUUCUCUCUCUCUCUCUCUCUCUCUCUCUCUCUCUCUCUCUCUCUCUCCUCCCACCCCCCCUUUCUUUGAGACAGGGUUUCUCUAUGUAGCCUUGGCUGUCCUGAAACUCACUCUGUAGACCAGACUGGCCUCAAGCUCAGAGCUUCAACUGCCUCUGUCUUGUGAGUGCUGGGAUUAAGGGUGUGUGCCACCACCAUCCAGCACUGUAUGUUUUCUAUAACUUUAGUUUAUUAGAAUUUAUUUUACUGGUUUAUUGUAAUUACUUAGUUUAUUUUUAUUCACCUUUUAUUGCUAAUUUUCUCACACCAGUUAUCGAGUCUUUCAUCCGCAUCUCGGACUGAGUUCUUUUUCUUUCAUCUGUUUAUUUGACUCCUUGUUGGAGCACUUCACAAGUUUCUUCUUUCUUUUCUCCUUCCCCCUGCCCUCUUCCUUCCCCUCCUCUUCCUUCUCCCUGAAGUCCUCUGCCACCUUCUGCCCCUGUACCACUUCUUCCUCCAGCACUGGAGUUUCCAUCUCGUGUCUUGUAAGGGCUAGACAUGGAUCCACAACCCAGCCGAUGGUGGUCUCUAAAGCUACACUUCUGAAGUCAUUAUUGGCUACACUGUGAUCUCAAGGCCAGACUGACUACAUGAAGACCAGGCCUCAAAAAGGAUAAAAAAAUAUAGGAUAAACUGUGAAAAGAAUCAGUAAAGGUAAAAAUAUCAAUAAUAGCAAUGAAAUACAGAAGGGGACAGGGAUGGGGAACAAGAAAACAGGAGCUAGGUUAGAGAAAAUGAAAAAAGGGAAGGAGGUAAAAAUAUGAGGAACAAGAGAAAAGAGCAUUGUCUUAAUCAGGGUUUCUAUUCCUGCACAAACAUCAUGACCAAGAAGCAAGUUGGGAAGGAAAGGGUUUGUUCAGCUUACACUUCUACAUUGCUGUUCAUCACCAAGGAAGUCAGGACUGGAACUCAAGCAGGUCAGAAAGCAGGAGCUGAUGCAGAGGCCAUGGAAGGAUGAAAAGGAACAAGAGAGAUGCUCCAAAAAAAAAAAUUCCUGGUUUUCCAGAUGGCCCAAGAUCAGGUUCCAGUACCCACAUCAGUCCCCAGCCUCCAGGAGGAUCCAAAAGCUCAAGGUUGAGGGUGUUGCCGGUGGCCGUUGAUUUCACCCAUCACACCUACCUGAUGGCACCUCCAGAAGAAGAGGCAUCACUAAAGACUGGGUUCAGGGAGCAGCUUGAUGGUAGAAAUUUGGAUGUUCUUGGACUCUCACGUUCUUCCCGAAAGCAAAUGGCUUUGCCCUUUCUAUAUUCCUGGGCACCUCUUCUCACUGGUGUUCACCAAUGCUCUGUAAUUUCCUUUAAAUAAACCAGUUGGCAUG